GUUUUCCAAAGUGGGAAACGGAUCAGAAAAUCAGCUGUGAACAGACUUUACAGAAGGGAGACGGACCCAAGACCUCCUGGACCAGAGAGCUGACCAAUGAUGGGGAACUCAUUUUGACGAUGACUGCAGGGGAUGUGGUCUGCACCAGAGUUUAUGAGCGCGAAUGAAGGAAAUUACAAAGCGCCGUUCAUACAAUACUUCACAUUUACUCUUUUCCUCUUCAGUCUCCCAUCGACCAGCCCUGUGUUCAGGUCAGAAGAGUCUCAGACCAGUCUAUGAAGGAAGAUCAGGAGUUGAUGGGUUUCAGGUGACAGCAUAAAGAUGGGGGUCAGCUAAAAUUAAUAUAGUUAUGGGUCAGUCCACCUCAAUUCACCCAAUGAGUUAAACCCUACUUUGUCAGAUUUUUAUGAAACUUGGUAUAUAGGUAAAUCAUAGCCAGAAAAGCCAAAAUUUCAAAUUUUAGUUUGAUCGGGUCACUGUUUCCAAGAUAUCGCAUUUCAUUUUUUGUGUGGUCGCUGAAUUUCAAAUUGGGUUUACUCAGCAAUUACUGGUCCGAUAUCAAAAACCAAGGUAUCUAUGGAAAGGAGAAAUCAUAAAGAAUUCAAAUCUGACCUAUAUUUUGACCUUGAAAUUGACAAUAAGGGACACACCCGACCUCAAUGACACCAAUAGAAAAAAGUUAGCCCUAUACAUCUAUUUCAAUGUAUAAAAAAUCUGAAGGGGUUUUCUUUUUAUUUUCACACAAAUUUACCUAGAUGUUGACUUACCCCCAUCUUUAGAUGUGCCAAAUAUCCAUUUUUGAUAUUGGACCAGUAGUUGUUAAGUAAAUGCAAUUUGAAAUUCAGUGACCACACAAAAAAAGUGAAAAAAUGAAAUUGGGGUAUCUCGGAAAUGGUUACUCCAAUCAUGCUAAAAUUUGAGAUUUUUGGCCAUGACUUACCCAUACACAAAUUUUCUUUGCAAUUGGACAAUGUGAGGGUUCAAAUUGUAAUUUUUGGGGGGUGAAUUUCGGUGGAAUGACCCUUGGAAUGCAGUGAGUUCUUGGGUCUAGUCUAUAAUAGCAAUGAUCAAGUUCAACAUUUGUGCAUUUUGUAUAUUUAGACUAAAUACAAUGUAAUAAGUAGGGAAAACUGACUCUUGGAGGGCAGGAGCCAGUUUUCCUUAUUGAUUACAUUCACAAAUAUCUAAAAAAGUUAAUAAAAAACAACAAACCUGAUGAUUUAAUUAUCUUCACACCCCCACGGAAUGUUGUACUUCUGCAAAGUAAUACAAUACAAAACUAUAAGAUAAUGUUGAAAUCAGAAAUCUUUUAAUCAGUGGUUUGUGCACAUUACAUCUGAACAUUAACUUUUAUAUUUUAUUUUUGUGCGAUGCUUGAACCUCAACCACCAUCUUUAAAUUGAUUAGAAUGAUUUAAAAAUGAUUAUUGUUACUCUUUAUCCAUUCGUGUUAUUAUUACUCACUGUAGUUUUUCAAUGACAAAACACUGCUAGAUAAGAUAGCCGGAAUUGCUGUGACCAUUUUAUUUAGUAUAAAAGUACAUUUGUAUACAGUGGGCAUACCUCAGUAAUUAGUGAUUUAUAUUUGGUUAUUGUUUAUUGUAAAUUGAUGUACUCUGGUGCAUUGCCUGUGUUUGGUGUAUUGGUGUAUUCAAGUCCAUUGCCUCUCACUAGUUAAUUUCCUGUCAACCAGCGGCAUGAACAUCGAGAGCCAGAUGCCAAAACAAUGUAUGUACGAAAUAGACUGGUCCAAGAUACUUCAGUGAAACCUGCUCCAGAUCUACUUUGAACUUUGCACUGACUACAGACAAUGAUACUUUUGUCUUGGUUAAUUUGAGUCUUACUUAUUACACUGUUGUUAAUGUCCUUUACAUUCCUUUUAUAUAGUUGUUAAUAAACUGUUUUUUUUUAUAAUAA
This is a long non-coding RNA of Boleophthalmus pectinirostris (great blue-spotted mudskipper), 1916 nucleotides long. RefSeq lists it as uncharacterized. The transcript has 2 exons. Lineage: Eukaryota; Metazoa; Chordata; Actinopteri; Gobiiformes; Gobiidae. The record is from RefSeq and is a predicted model, not a curated record.